RNAcentral lists this ribosomal RNA (255 nucleotides) under uncultured bacterium. RNAcentral's name for it is "partial 16S ribosomal RNA". It matches the Rfam family "Bacterial small subunit ribosomal RNA", at positions 524 to 776 of the family's 1533-position model. The record is from RNAcentral.
UACGUAGGGCGCAAGCGUUAUCCGGAAUUAUUGGGCGUAAAGAGCUCGUAGGCGGUUUGUCGCGUCUGCCGUGAAAGUCCGGGGCUCAACUCCGGAUCUGCGGUGGGUACGGGCAGACUAGAGUGUGGUAGGGGAGACUGGAAUUCCUGGUGUAGCGGUGAAAUGCGCAGAUAUCAGGAGGAACACCGAUGGCGAAGGCAGGUCUCUGGGCCACUACUGACGCUGGAGAAGCGGAAAGCAUGGGGAGCGAACAGG